RNAcentral lists this ribosomal RNA (523 nucleotides) under Providencia rettgeri. RNAcentral describes it as "partial 23S ribosomal RNA". It matches the Rfam family "Bacterial large subunit ribosomal RNA", at positions 719 to 1239 of the family's 2925-position model. The record is from RNAcentral. Lineage: Bacteria; Pseudomonadati; Pseudomonadota; Gammaproteobacteria; Enterobacterales; Morganellaceae.
AACCCGGUGAUCUAGCCAUGGGCAGGUUGAAGGUUGGGUAACACUAACUGGAGGACCGAACCGACUAAUGUUGAAAAAUUAGCGGAUGACUUGUGGCUGGGGGUGAAAGGCCAAUCAAACCGGGAGAUAGCUGGUUCUCCCCGAAAGCUAUUUAGGUAGCGCCUCGUGAACUCAUCUUCGGGGGUAGAGCACUGUUUCGACUAGGGGGUCAUCCCGACUUACCAACUCGAUGCAAACUACGAAUACCGAAGAAUGUUAUCACGGGAGACACACGGCGGGUGCUAACGUUCGUCGUGAAGAGGGAAACAACCCAGACCGCCAGCUAAGGUCCCAAAGUCAUAGUUAAGUGGGAAACGAAGUGGGAAGGCUCAGACAGCCAGGAUGUUGGCUUAGAAGCAGCCAUCAUUUAAAGAAAGCGUAAUAGCUCACUGGUCGAGUCGGCCUGCGCGGAAGAUGUAACGGGGCUAAACUAUGCACCGAAGCUGCGGCAGCGAUAUGUAAAUAUUGUUGGGUAGGGGAGCGU